UACGUAGGGUGCAAGCGUUGUCCGGAAUUAUUGGGCGUAAAGAGCUCGUAGGCGGUUUGUUGCGUCGGCUGUGAAAUCCCGAGGCUCAACCUCGGGUCUGCAGUCGAUACGAGCAAACUAGAGUGUUGCAGGGGAGACUGGAAUUCCUGGUGUAGCGGUGAAAUGCGCAGAUAUCAGGAGGAACACCAAUAGCGAAGGCAGCUCGCUGGGACGUUACUGACACUGAGGCGCGAAAGCGUGGGGAGCGAACAGG
This 253-nucleotide ribosomal RNA is filed under the name uncultured bacterium. RNAcentral's name for it is "partial 16S ribosomal RNA". It matches the Rfam family "Bacterial small subunit ribosomal RNA", at positions 524 to 776 of the family's 1533-position model. The record is from RNAcentral.